Molecule: RNA transcript, 1136 nt
Organism: Capsella rubella
Lineage: Eukaryota; Viridiplantae; Streptophyta; Magnoliopsida; Brassicales; Brassicaceae
Exons: 6
Source: RefSeq, a predicted model, not a curated record
UUUGAGUUUCUGUACAAAUGUGAAAUCCGGUUUGGUUAAACCGGCUAAAAAAGUUUAUUUAUGGUUUGUUUCGUAUUUCAUCUUAUCGUUAUGGCUUCCGUUGCUUUGCCGGCGUUAAGCUGCCGGAGCUCAGGAGAACAAGUGAAGGAAAUUCGCGUAUGCACGAAUCGAACAUGCCGGAGACAAGGCUCCUUCCAGAUUCUCGAGACUUUAACGGCUCUCGCACCUCCUGAACUCCGAGUCACUCCCAGCGGUUGCCUCGGCCGAUGUGGCGCCGGUCCAAACCUCGUUGCUCUCCCUCAAGGUCUCAUCCUCCGUCACUGCGCCACGCCUUCUCGUGCUGCUGAAAUCUUGUUCAGCCUCUGUGGUGACGGUCGUGAAGCUUCUUCCUCCUUCGUCGUCACAGACGCUCUCACUGCUUUAGCGCUCACCAACAAUGCCCUCUCUCAAAUCGAUGUGGGAAACUUCUCGGAAGCUGAAGCACUUCUCACUCAGGCGUUAGAGCUGAAGCCAUACGGUGGCUUGCAUAGAAUCUUCAAACAUAGAGCAGUAGCAAAAUUGGGAAUGCUUGAUUACUCUGGGGCUCUUGAAGAUAUAAACCGAGCUCUGGCCUUAGCUCCCAACUAUUCUGAGCCCUACAUUUGCCAAGGUGAUGUCUACGUAGCAGAAGGUCAAUAUGAUCUUGCAGAAAAUUCAUACUUGAAAUGUCUAGAGAUAGAUCCUUCUCUUCGCAGAUCUAAGUCAUUCAAGUCCCGGAUUGCAAACCUUCAAAAGAAAGUUGUUGAAGUAGAUGUGACAUAGAAGUAUUCUGACAUUGGGAGUUAUAUUGGAUGCAUACUAAUAGAUCUCUACGUGUUUGUCAUUGAAAAGUGAUCAUCCACUCCGCAGAUGAACCAUAGCUUUCCAACUUCUGAUAUGAUAAUUGAGUCGUUGCCUUUGGUGAAGAGGGAUGUGUAGUUGUCUGUUCCACAAUUUGUGUAUGCUGUAGAGUUAACUUGCAUAACAUUAUGCUGGUCACUUUUGUAGUUGAAUACUGUUGAAGAAGAUCAACAGAUUAGCAAGGUGAAUACUGAAAACAAAACUUAUUAUUAUUUCUUACCAUUGAUAUGGAACAGAGGGCUGCAGAAGAAGUGAGA